This 433-nucleotide ribosomal RNA is filed under the name uncultured bacterium. Its description in RNAcentral is "partial 16S ribosomal RNA". It matches the Rfam family "Bacterial small subunit ribosomal RNA", at positions 29 to 507 of the family's 1533-position model. The record is from RNAcentral.
AGCGAACGCUGGCGGCAGGCCUAACACAUGCAAGUCGAACGAACUCUUCGGAGUUAGUGGCGGACGGGUGAGUAACACGUGGGAACGUGCCUUUAGGUUCGGAAUAACUCAGGGAAACUUGAGCUAAUACCGGAUGUGCCCUUCGGGGGAAAGAUUUAUCGCCUUUAGAGCGGCCCGCGUCUGAUUAGCUAGUUGGUGAGGUAAAGGCUCACCAAGGCGACGAUCAGUAGCUGGUCUGAGAGGAUGAUCAGCCACAUUGGGACUGAGACACGGCCCAAACUCCUACGGGAGGCAGCAGUGGGGAAUUUUGCGCAAUGGGCGAAAGCCUGACGCAGCCAUGCCGCGUGAAUGAUGAAGGUCUUAGGAUUGUAAAAUUCUUUCACCGGGGACGAUAAUGACGGUACCCGGAGAAGAAGCCCCGGCUAACUUCGUG